Entelurus aequoreus (snake pipefish) is the source of this 264-nucleotide long non-coding RNA. RefSeq lists it as uncharacterized. The transcript has 3 exons. NCBI's taxonomy places the organism in Eukaryota, Metazoa, Chordata, Actinopteri, Syngnathiformes, Syngnathidae. The record is from RefSeq and is a predicted model, not a curated record.
CACAAUUCGUCCAACCGAGCUUCAUUUCACCUGGCCGACCCUGCUAAAUCCAUCCUACUGCAUCGUGUGUUUUUGAUAACAAGUACCCCCAGGAGUACGCGUACCCCCAUUUGAGAACCACUGCCUUAGGAGACUAGAUGUAAACAGAGGAAAGAGAGAGCGAGUGAGUUGCUGGUGACAAAGUCACAAUAAAACGUUGGAUGAUCAGCAUGGAAGGUGAUGUCAUCUGCAAAGGCGUCCAACCUAGCUUAAUCUCAGGGCUUG